GGGCAUUGGGGGUAUUGGUCAGACAGGUGUUGUUGGUGAGACGAAGCUUGGGCAUCAGGCAGAAUGUUGGCAUCUGCAUGAGUGGAACAGAGGAGCCUCAGUUCUGGUUCUCUUUCCUGAGACGACAACCACAGGAUGAGGCUUGAGAGGAGGUCUCAGGAGAGAAAAUGUUCCAUGACUUUCACACCUUCAACCUCAAGCUCUUGAAUCAUUGGGACAGUUGCUUGGGUGCUGAAAGG
Molecule: long non-coding RNA, 239 nt
Organism: Oncorhynchus nerka (sockeye salmon)
Lineage: Eukaryota; Metazoa; Chordata; Actinopteri; Salmoniformes; Salmonidae
Exons: 4
Source: RefSeq, a predicted model, not a curated record